GAACGCUGGCGGCGUGCUUAACACAUGCAAGUCGAACGAGAACGGGAUAUAGCUUGCUAUAUUUGUCAGCUAAGUGGCGCACGGGUGAGUAAUGUAUAGAUAACCUGCCCUCUAGAAAGGAAUAACAGUUGGAAACGACUGCUAAUGCCCUAUAUGCCUUUAAUACAUAAGUAUGCAAGGGAAACGCUUUAGUGCUAGAGGAUGGGUCUGUAUGGUAUCAGCUUGUUGGUGAGGUAAUGGCUCACCAAGGCUAUGACGCCUAACUGGUCUGAGAGGACGACCAGCCACACUGGGACUGAGACACGGCCCAGACUCCUACGGGAGGCAGCAGGUGGGGUAAUUUUGGACAAUGGGCGCAAGCCUGAUCCAGCAAUGCCGCGUGCAGGAAGAAGGCCUUCGGGUUGUAAACUGUCUUUUGUACGGAACGAAAAGUCCGGGUUAAUACCCUGGGCCCAUGACGGUACCGUAAGAAUAAGCACCGGCUAACUACGUG
Molecule: ribosomal RNA, 493 nt
Filed under: uncultured bacterium
Lineage: Bacteria
Description: bacterial SSU rRNA
Rfam family: Bacterial small subunit ribosomal RNA
Source: RNAcentral